RNAcentral lists this ribosomal RNA (253 nucleotides) under uncultured bacterium. RNAcentral describes it as "partial 16S ribosomal RNA". It matches the Rfam family "Bacterial small subunit ribosomal RNA", at positions 524 to 776 of the family's 1533-position model. The record is from RNAcentral.
UACGGGGGGGGCAAGCGUUGUCCGGAAUUACUGGGCGUAAAGGGCUCGUAGGCGGCCAACUAAGUCAGACGUGAAAUCCCUCGGCUUAACCGGGGAACUGCGUCUGAUACUGGAUGGCUUGAGAUUGGGAGAGGGAUGCGGAAUUCCAGGUGUAGCGGUGAAAUGCGUAGAUAUCAGGAGGAACACCGGUGGGGUAGACGGCUAUCUGGACCGUAACUGACGCUGAGGCACGAAAGCGUGGGUAGCAAACAGG